This 1430-nucleotide ribosomal RNA is filed under the name Klebsiella sp. Its description in RNAcentral is "bacterial SSU rRNA". It matches the Rfam family "Bacterial small subunit ribosomal RNA". The record is from RNAcentral. Lineage: Bacteria; Pseudomonadati; Pseudomonadota; Gammaproteobacteria; Enterobacterales; Enterobacteriaceae.
CUACACAUGCAGUCGAGCGGUAGCACAGAGAGCUUGCUCUCGGGUGACGAGCGGCGGACGGGUGAGUAAUGUCUGGGAAACUGCCUGAUGGAGGGGGAUAACUACUGGAAACGGUAGCUAAUACCGCAUAACGUCGCAAGACCAAAGUGGGGGACCUUCGGGCCUCAUGCCAUCAGAUGUGCCCAGAUGGGAUUAGCUGGUAGGUGGGGUAACGGCUCACCUAGGCGACGAUCCCUAGCUGGUCUGAGAGGAUGACCAGCCACACUGGAACUGAGACACGGUCCAGACUCCUACGGGAGGCAGCAGUGGGGAAUAUUGCACAAUGGGCGCAAGCCUGAUGCAGCCAUGCCGCGUGUGUGAAGAAGGCCUUCGGGUUGUAAAGCACUUUCAGCGGGGAGGAAGGCGGUGAGGUUAAUAACCUCACCGAUUGACGUUACCCGCAGAAGAAGCACCGGCUAACUCCGUGCCAGCAGCCGCGGUAAUACGGAGGGUGCAAGCGUUAAUCGGAAUUACUGGGCGUAAAGCGCACGCAGGCGGUCUGUCAAGUCGGAUGUGAAAUCCCCGGGCUCAACCUGGGAACUGCAUUCGAAACUGGCAGGCUAGAGUCUUGUAGAGGGGGGUAGAAUUCCAGGUGUAGCGGUGAAAUGCGUAGAGAUCUGGAGGAAUACCGGUGGCGAAGGCGGCCCCCUGGACAAAGACUGACGCUCAGUGCGAAAGCGUGGGGAGCAAACAGGAUUAGAUACCCUGGUAGUCCACGCUGUAAACGAUGUCGAUUUGGAGGUUGUGCCCUUGAGGCGUGGCUUCCGGAGCUAACGCGUUAAAUCGACCGCCUGGGGAGUACGGCCGCAAGGUUAAAACUCAAAUGAAUUGACGGGGGCCCGCACAAGCGGUGGAGCAUGUGGUUUAAUUCGAUGCAACGCGAAGAACCUUACCUGGUCUUGACAUCCACAGAACUUUCCAGAGAUGGAUUGGUGCCUUCGGGAACUGUGAGACAGGUGCUGCAUGGCUGUCGUCAGCUCGUGUUGUGAAAUGUUGGGUUAAGUCCCGCAACGAGCGCAACCCUUAUCCUUUGUUGCCAGCGGUCCGGCCGGGAACUCAAAGGAGACUGCCAGUGAUAAACUGGAGGAAGGUGGGGAUGACGUCAAGUCAUCAUGGCCCUUACGACCAGGGCUACACACGUGCUACAAUGGCAUAUACAAAGAGAAGCGACCUCGCGAGAGCAAGCGGACCUCAUAAAGUAUGUCGUAGUCCGGAUUGGAGUCUGCAACUCGACUCCAUGAAGUCGGAAUCGCUAGUAAUCGUAGAUCAGAAUGCUACGGUGAAUACGUUCCCGGGCCUUGUACACACCGCCCGUCACACCAUGGGAGUGGGUUGCAAAAGAAGUAGGUAGCUUAACCUUCGGGAGGGCGCUACUACUUUUGAAUAAGGUG